Molecule: ribosomal RNA, 2011 nt
Filed under: wastewater metagenome
Description: bacterial LSU rRNA
Rfam family: Bacterial large subunit ribosomal RNA
Source: RNAcentral
GAGACCGGAGAAAUCUUGCGCGAAUCUGCCAGCACCAUCUGGUAAGGCUAAAUACUACUGAGAGACCGAUAGCGAAUGAGUACCGUGAGGGAAAGGUGAAAAGUACCCCAAACAGGGGAGUGAAAUAGAACCUGAAACCGUGCGCCUACAAGCGGUCGAAGCUCCGAUGUUUAUCGGAGUGACGGCGUGCCUUUUGCAUAAUGAGCCUACAAGUUACGCCUCUCUGGCAAGGUUAAUUCCGUUAACGGAUGGAGCCGAAGCGAAAGCAAGUCCUAAUAGGGCGCUGAGUCAGAGGGGGUAGACGCGAAACUUUGUGAUCUACCCAUGGCCAGGCUGAAGUCCCGGUAACACGGGAUGGAGGGCCGAACCGGUAAACGUUGAAACGUCUUCGGAUGAGCUGUGGGUAGGGGUGAAAGGCUAAUCAAACUGAGAGAUAGCUCGUACUCCCCGAAAUGUUUUUAGGAACAGCCUGGGGUCUACUGUCUUAGAGGUAGAGCUACUGAUUGGAUGAGGGGGUCUCACCGCCUGCCAAAUCCUGAUAAACUCCGAAUGCUAAGACAUAAUACCCUGGAGUGAGGCCGUGGGUGCUAAGGUCCAUGGCCGAGAGGGAAACAACCCAGACCAUCAGCUAAGGUCCCUAAAUGUAUGUUCAGUUGUUCUAACGAGGUCUGACUGCAUUGACAGCUAGGAUGUUGGCUUGGAAGCAGCCAUUCAUUUAAAGAGUGCGUAACAGCUCACUAGUCGAGCGGUCAGGCGUGGAUAAUAAACGGGCAUAAACAUACUACCGAAGCUAUGAACUGCCGAUAAAAUCGGCAGUGGUAGGGGAGCAUUCCAGUCUGCACCGAAGUCCCGAUGUAAAUCGAGAUGGAGCGUCUGGAAAAGAAAAUGUAGGCAUAAGUAACGAUAAUCCCGGUGAAAAACCGGGACACCGAAAGACUAAGGUUUCCUGAUCAACGCUAAUCGGAUCAGGGUUAGUCGGGACCUAAGGCGUACCCAAACGGGAUAGCUAAUGGAUAUCAGGUUAAUAUUCCUGUACUUCCUUACAGUGCAAGGUAGGGACGUGAACAUCAGGUGCUUACGUACUGACGGAAUAGUGCGUCGAGCCUAGCCUUUGGGCGAAGCAAAAGCAAGUAGUGUCCACCAAGAAAAGCUACCAAAGCUUCAGCUGUAAGGAACUCGUACCGCAAACCAACACAGGUAGUCGAGGAGAGUAUCCACAGGUGCUCGAGUGAUUCAUGGCUAAGGAACUAGGCAAAUUGACCCUGUAACUUCGGAAGAAAGGGUCCCCGACUACGGUCGGGGCGCAGAGAAAUGGCCCAGGCGACUGUUUAACAAAAACACAUGGCUUUGCUAAAUCGAAAGAUGACGUAUAAGGCCUGACACCUGCCCGGUGCUGGAAGGUUAAGGGGAGAGGUUAUCCCGACUCGUCGGGAGAAGCUUCAAACUGAAGCCCCAGUAAACGGCGGCCGUAACUAUAACGGUCCUAAGGUAGCGAAAUUCCUUGUCGGGUAAGUUCCGACCUGCACGAAUGGUGUAACGAUCUGGGCACUGUCUCAGCCAUGAGCUCGGUGAAAUUGUAGUAGCGGUGAAGAUGCCGCUUACCCGCAACGGGACGGAAAGACCCCGUGAACCUUUACUAUAGCUUAACAUUGACUCUGGAUAAAUGAUGUGUAGGAUAGGUGGGAGACUGUGAAGUCCCAACGCCAGUUGGGAUGGAGUCAACCUUGAAAUACCACCCUUCGUUUAUUCGGAGCCUAAUCCCCUCUAUCGCGGGAAACAGUGUUUGGUGGGUAGUUUGACUGGGGUGGUCGCCUCCAAAAACGUAACGGAGGCUCUCAAAGGUACCCUCAGCACGCUUGGUAACCGUGCGUAGAGUGCAAUGGCAUAAGGGUGCUUGACUGCGAGACUUACUAGUCGAACAGGUAGGAAACUAGGACAUAGUGAUCCGGUGGUCCCAUAUGGAAGGGCCAUCGCUCAAAGGAUAAAAGGUACUCCGGGGAUAACAGGCUGA